CUCUCACCUCCGAUCCUGGCCAAAACACACCCCUGAGAGGUUAUAGAAUUUAUGAUUACACACAACCCUAAAUUUAUAUUAUUGAAUCAUACUCAACAGCUUAGGAAAUUGACCUUGUUGAUUGAUUGCUUUUGGGUGGGAAAUCGUAGAGGUGACGCCGCAGAUGUAUCGUCAUCAUCUCGUUGUUCAACACUUCAGCUCGGAAUUGGGAUGGCAUGGUUCCUACUUGGGCAUUUUAUCAAACAUGUUGAGAGCAUGGGAAUCAUACAAUUAUUCCUCAAGAACAUUUUAUCAAAUCUGUACAAUUUAACUCAAAUUAUAAUUUAAAAUAUGUGUAAUUCAAGUG
This 346-nucleotide long non-coding RNA is filed under the name Citrus sinensis (sweet orange). RNAcentral's name for it is "long non-coding RNA (CSIN_LNC004461)". The record is from RNAcentral. Lineage: Eukaryota; Viridiplantae; Streptophyta; Magnoliopsida; Sapindales; Rutaceae.